CGAUGGCGGGCGGCGUGUCCGGGAGGACGGACCCGUUCCCCGGGCCGGCGCCGGUGCCGCGGGCCGGAGUGAAGCGGUUCCUGCGGGAGAGCGGCGAGAGAGCGCCCCGCGCCGUCGCCCCCCGG
Molecule: non-coding RNA, 125 nt
Organism: Lonchura striata (white-rumped munia)
Lineage: Eukaryota; Metazoa; Chordata; Aves; Passeriformes; Estrildidae
Source: RefSeq, a predicted model, not a curated record